This 301-nucleotide ribosomal RNA is filed under the name uncultured bacterium. RNAcentral describes it as "partial 16S ribosomal RNA". It matches the Rfam family "Bacterial small subunit ribosomal RNA", at positions 509 to 808 of the family's 1533-position model. The record is from RNAcentral.
CAGCAGCCGCGGGAAUACGUAGGGUGCGAGCGUUAAUCGGAAUUACUGGGCGUAAAGCGUGCGCAGGCGGUUUUGUAAGACAGGCGUGAAAUCCCCGGGCUCAACCUGGGAAUGGCGCUUGUGACUGCAAAGCUAGAGUGCGGCAGAGGGGGAUGGAAUUCCGCGUGUAGCAGCGAAAUGCGUAGAUAUGCGGAGGAACACCGAUGGCGAAGGCAAUCCCCUGGGCCUGCGCUGACGCUCAUGCACGAAAGCGUGGGGAGCAAACAGGAUUAGAUACCCGUGUAGUCCCUGUCUCUUAACA